ACGAGCAAAAUCAUGUCUACAAGCGGACCUGCGUGGGCGACUAUGUUGUGCACAGCGUAAAGCGUAUCUUAUCAUAUUUUGUUUGUCUGUGUUUAUUUCUGAUGCAGGCAGAGGCAUGGAUCAAGGGCAAACUGCAGGAUCUGAAGGAUGGCUGUAAUAUUCAGCGCUGCCCCCUGCAGGACUGGGAGGAAGCCUCGCAGACGCUUCAGAGGGACCUCAAAGACUUUGAGAACACACUAAUUCAACUCAACCAGGUAAAACAACAAAAAAAAGAUUCGACACAAGGCCGGGCACUAACUGAAAUAUUGUUAGCCUGUGUUACUAGAACAGGGAACCCACAUCCAAAAGUAAAUAAUUAUUUAGGAUCUGAAUGGGACCAUUAAUCACUGUCCUUGUUGCUAAAAGAGUCUGUCAGCUCACUUGACACACAACAUAAUGCUCUCGGAGGCAUUUCCAGUCGACCGGAGAAAAAAGCGGAGCCUCAGUUUUCCAGAAGGCUCUGUCGAGCCAGUUUCAUACUUUCUCCCUCCGGAGAGAAUGUUUGGAAACGGUACAAUGCUGAUAAUUAACCUCGCCUGACACCCAGACAGGCCAGGAAGCAGAUACAGAAGAAGCAGAUUUUUUUCUAGGGGUUUGUCGUAGGCGUGAUGGCCGUUUCCCAACAGUUAUGAAGCAAUGGCUCUGACAAAGUGUCCGAGUCGCUGUUGUAUGUCAGUCUGUGCUGCACCGAAUAUGAACUGUGACAUGUUCCGAAAGAUGGGUGAGCAGUUGAUCUGCAAGCUGAACCCUACAUCCGACGCGGUGAAGAAGCAGCUCGGCCUGCUCAGGGACCAGUGGCAGACCCUCAAACACACGGCUGCAAAUCAGACGAGGGCCCUCGGGGGAGCCAAGAACCUGCAGGAGUUCAACAAAAAAGUGGACGAGCUGGAGGCGUGGAUUAAAGAGAAGCAGGAAGAGGAGCAGUCUCUGGGGAAUGUCUUGGGGGGAAAUGUUGACAAAAUGCAGCUGACAAGGAGAAUAUUAGAUCUGAAACAGGUGAGCGUUAUAAAGGAACGAGCAAAAGAACUAUUAAUAAUUAACAGAGAAACAAUACACAUGCUAAACCACAUUCUGGAGAUAAACCUAUACACAUUCCCACAUGUGAACGGUUUAUAUUGUAUUUUCUUCAGACGUUACCGAGUAAUUUAUCUUUGGCUGACUGUAAUUUGUCUCCCGGGGGGGUGUAUGGUAAAGACAGGUGAGGUCAUAGUUGGCUUGUGUUCCCCCGUGUCCAUGCAGGAUGAGCUGCUGUACAGAAACCUCCACGAGGAGAUCAACCACUUGGCCCUAAAACUGGAGAAACAAGGGAAGACAGAUGGCAAAAACAUCUCCACCCGGAGGAAGCACAUCAAUAAAAUGUGGCUCAAGGUCCAGUCUCAUCUGAAAAACUACCAUGAAAAUCUUCAGCUGGCUCUGGAGGUGUCCUCCUUCUACCAGCAGGCCGAUAACACGCUGGUCGCAAUAAACAAUAUGAGCAAAAGCAUAUGUGCGUCCAAAGAAUGGGACGGCUUCGGAGACAGAGAAAUCCGUGACAUUGCCAGUCAAAUCAUGAUGCUUGACGUGAGCGUGUCCCAGCUGUCGAAUCUCCAUCCUGCCCUGGCCACUGGCGUGACGCAGAAGCAGAGUGAGGUGAAGGACUGCUGGGCAAUUCUUCAUAAAGUUUUCAGGUAA
Long non-coding RNA from Scophthalmus maximus (turbot), 1710 nucleotides. The record is from Ensembl. NCBI's taxonomy places the organism in Eukaryota, Metazoa, Chordata, Actinopteri, Pleuronectiformes, Scophthalmidae.